UACGAAGGGGGCUAGCGUUGUUCGGAAUUACUGGGCGUAAAGCGUAUGCAGGCGGAUCGUUAAGUCGGGGGUGAAAUCCCGAGGCUCAACCUCGGAACUGCCUUCGAUACUGGCGAUCUUGAGUCCGGGAGAGGUGAGUGGAAUUCCUAGUGUAGAGGUGAAAUUCGUAGAUAUUAGGAAGAACACCAGUGGCGAAGGCGGCUCACUGGCCCGGUACUGACGCUGAGGCGCGAAAGCGUGGGGAGCAAACAGG
Molecule: ribosomal RNA, 253 nt
Filed under: uncultured bacterium
Lineage: Bacteria
Description: partial 16S ribosomal RNA
Rfam family: Bacterial small subunit ribosomal RNA
Source: RNAcentral